This 27-nucleotide non-coding RNA is filed under the name Homo sapiens (human). The record is from RNAcentral. Lineage: Eukaryota; Metazoa; Chordata; Mammalia; Primates; Hominidae.
UCACAGCAAAAGCUUCUACCUGAUGGC